RNAcentral lists this long non-coding RNA (10088 nucleotides) under Nicotiana tabacum (common tobacco). Its description in RNAcentral is "long non-coding RNA (NTAB_LNC004668)". The record is from RNAcentral. Lineage: Eukaryota; Viridiplantae; Streptophyta; Magnoliopsida; Solanales; Solanaceae.
AAAAGGACCUAGGGACUAAUUGACAAAUACACAAAAAUACACCUAAAACCUAGACCUAUAUUAUAGGUAAUGAAAAAAAUAACAAAUAUUUUAGGUAAUGCCUACAAUGAGCUAAGUGGAGAGGAAAUUACGCCUAAAGACCUGGGGAAAAAGGUUGUAGCGCCGCAAUACACGAAGGCCCUUCCCCCAAAAACUGCUUCUUCUCCGUUCAAAGAAGACAGAACAGCGGUGACAUCAAAAAAGAUCCCCACCUGAAUUACAUUUGAUCUCUAAGAAGAAUACACAAAAAUAGACCCUAGACAUCUACGAAUCAGCAACGCCGCUGACAUCCCAACAGGACCACAAACGACCCUCUAUAUUCUCGUCUUCUUCAUCCCUUCCCCACCGUCGAGCUUUGUCUUCAACCAGACAUACCACCCUCACCCUUUAUCCGUUUUCCAACUCUUUCAUUCCCUCACAGCAGCCAUUUCCAGCAGCAUGCCCAAACAUAGCUCGCCAGAAAAUAUGUAGCCUCAGCGACCACCUAGAUCCGGCUGAACUCCAGUCAUCUUCCUCACCAUAAAACCAGCUGAAGACCCCUUGAACCCCCUUUGUCCAUUUUCGAGUUCGUCGCCGAUCAAGAUUGUUCGACGUCGAUUCCGAUUCGAGCCUGCUGCUGCUCGAGGUUAGAGUCUGGGUUUUUGCUCAAGGUCGUCGAGGUCCGGACUGUUGAGCUCGUCAAUCACAGCUUUGGCUUUGAGUUUUCUUUUCCUACCCGUUGUUUCAAAAACACAUUGCAGCUAUAAAGGUCUAUUCUGAUAUCUUUAUUAUUUCUCAUUUGAUGAUAUUUUUACCAUGAUUAUCGUGAUAUUUUCUAGUUGUAACUUGACCGAAAUUUAUAGUUCAUCAUAGUUUUUUGUUGGUUUUAAUCAUCUGGUUUUGCAUUCUCGCUGAAAUAUUAGACCAUGGCUCCUAUGCUGGAAUGGAAUGAAACUUUAGUUUUUUGUUAAAAAAGGCACAGGGUACUGCCAAUUGUUUAAGUGGGUGGUGGCCAAUGAUAUUUAAAUUGGAAUUAGAUUUUUACCAUGGAUGGUGCUAAUCAAAGUUCAAAGAUUGUUCUCAUGUUUAAGAUCACGCAUGUUGUCGUACCAUUUUUAGUGUAGUUGAUAGCUUCUUUUAAAUGCUUUUACAUGUUGAAUGAUUGAUAUUGGUUGAUCGUUAUGUAUCUUAAAUGGUUGUUUGGCCAUGGGAGAUCCGAUAUUGAAACAUAAUAAUAAGGAGUCAUGGGUUGUUGAAUAUUAAUUAAAAGUAAAACUCUGUUCAACAUGUUUUAUUUAGUUCUACUUUGUUUUAUCACUUUAAUCGCUAGGAGUAUGUAUGGCCCUCGUUUAAUUAAUCUUGUUUAUCCAUAGAAUUUGAGGCGUGCCAUUUAGUUGAAUCUCCAUGGCCCUGCGUUGGUUUCUUUGGGCAUGUAUUUUAAUAAUAUUACCUUCCUAAACUCGGGUGUGCAUUUCAUGUGACCCAAAUCAAAUCUUAAACCGUUGAAUAAAAUAUAUUUAGGAUUGCGGGUGCAUUUCAUGUGGCACGAUCCAAAGAUGUGUUUUAAACGACGUUUAAUCUUCUUUAAAAAUUAAAUAAAAGCGGUUUGAAAGUUAAAAUUGCACCAUAGGUUAAAACAUGUAUUAAAAUCAGAUAAUUAAGCUGAAUAUAACAGUUGAGCGUCCGUGCUAGAACCACAUAACUCGAGAAUGCCUAACACCUUCUCCCAGGUUAAUAGAAUUCCUUACUCGGAUUUCUGGUUCGCGGACUGUAAUACAGAGUCAAUCUUUCCUCGAUUCGGGAUUUUAAACCGGUGACUUGGGAUACCAUAAAUUAUCCCAAGUGGCGACUCUAAAUUUUUAAUAAAAUAAUCCCGUUUCGAUUGUCACUUUAAGUUGGAAAAACUCCCUUAUACCCCCUUCCGGGGGUGUAGGUAAAAAGGAGGUGUGACAAUCCCAAAUGAAUCUGAUGACUUCUUUUUCUCGGACCCUCUCGAAUGCUUGAGCUUAACCCAUUUAGAGAAAUAGUCAAUCAUAAAUAGUAUGAAUUGAGCCUUACUAGGUGCCUAUGGUAGGGACCGACGAUCUCCAUUCCUCGUUUCAUGAAUGGCCAGGGUGACAGAACCGAGUGUAGUAACUCCCCAGGUUGGUAGAUCAUGAGUGCAUGCCUCUGACAGCCAUCACAUUUGCGCACGAACGCCCUCGCAUCUUUCUCUUUGUCGAUCCAAUGAUAGGCAGCUCUGAUUAUCUUACGAACCAACAAUUCUGCUCCCGAAUAGUUUCCGCAGGUGCCUUCGUGAACUUCCCUCAAAACAUAUUCAGUGUCUCCUGGUCCCAAGCAUAUGGCGAGUGGGCCAUCGAACGUUCUCCUAAAUAGAAAGUUAUCUUCAGGCAGGCUAAACCUGGCCGCCUUUGUGCACAACGCUCUCGAUUCUUUGGUAUCCGGGGGAAAUUUCCCAAUCUUCAGGUAGUCUAUAUACUUGUUUCUCUAGUCCCAAGUUAGACUUGUCACAUUUAUCUUGGUGUGGCCUUCCUCCACUAAUGAUUUCAUGAGUUCUAUGACCGUCCUUGAACUGAAUUCAUUGUCAUCAACCAAUGACCCCAAGUUAGCCAGAGAGUCGGCUUCGCUAUUUUGAUCCCGAGGCACGUGUUGUAGUGUCCAUUCUUUGAAUCGACAUAGUUUUACCUGUAGCUUGUCCAAGUAUCUUCGCAUCCGUUCCUCUUUUACUUCGAAUGUCCCAUUGACUUAAUUUACCACAAGGAGGGAAUCACAUUUAGCUUCGAUCACUUCAGCCCCCAAACUUUUAGCCAAUUCGAGACCUGCAAUCAUGGCCUCAUACUCAGCCUCAUUGUUAGUCAAUUUCACAAUUCUAAUAGAUAGUCUAAUUACAUUACCCGUGGGUGGCUUUAACAUGAUGCCAAGUCCAGACCCUUUCGCGUUCGAGGCACCGUCCAUAAAGAGGGUUCAGAUCCCUGAUGGAGUCCCCGAGUUCAGCAACAAUUCCCUCUCAACGUCAGGUAUUAGGGCCGGCGUGAAGUCGACCACGAAGUCUGCUAAAAUUUGGGAUUUGAUGGUUGCUCGGGGUCGAUAUUUGAUAUCGUACCCGCUGAUUACCACGGCCCACUUGGCCAAUCGUUUUGAGAGCUCAGGUUUGUGCAAUAUGUUUCUCAAUGGGUAAGUAGUUACAACAUAUGGGAUGGCAUUGAAAAUAUGGCUUUAACUUCCUAGAGGCGCUUAGCAAAGCGAGUGCCAAUUUCUCCAGGUGAGGAUACCUUGUUUCGGCCUCGCCUAGAGUCGUACUAACAUAAUACAUAGAAAAUUACGUACCUUCCUCUUCUCGGACUAGGACUCUACUUACUGCUAUCUCGGAUACCGCUAAGUACAGUUACAAUUGCUCAUCUGUUUUCAGGGUAUGAAGUAAGGGUGUACUCAAAAGGUACCAUUUAAGUUCUUCCAAAGCUUUCUAGCACUCCACGGUCUAUGAAAAGUUAUUCUUCUUCUUCUUCUUCUUCUUUAGCAAUGAUAAGAACCGAUGGCUUUUAUUGGAAGACCUUGAUAUGAACUGACCCAGGGCUGCUAUUCGCCCGGUUAACCUCUGAACGGCCUUGACAUUGUGCACUAUGGUGAUGUCUUCUAUAGAUUUUAAUUUGUCAGGAUUAAUCUUGAUUCCUCGGUUGGACACCAUGAAUCCGAGGAACUUCCCGAACCCAACACCAAAUGCGCACUUCUCCAAAUUUAACUUCAUGUUAUACUUCUUCAGUAUGCUGAAGGUUUCACGCAAAUGUUCCAAAUGGUCCUCUGCUCGUAGGGACUUAACUAACAUGUCGUCAAUUUAAAUCUGCAUUGAUUUUCCUAUUAGUUCUUCGAACAUCCGGUUUACUAGGCAUUGGUAAGUGGCACCAACAUUCUUUAAUCCGAACGGCAUUACGUUAUAACAAUAGGUGCCAAAUUUAGUGAUGAAAGAAGUUUUUUCCUAAUCGUCUGAGUCCAUCCAGAUUUGAUUGAACCCAGAACAGGCAUCAAGAAAGAUGAGUAUCGCGUGGUCGACCGUCACAUCGAUCAUGCGGUCAGUUGGGAAGAUGAAAAGAGUCCUUGGGGUAUGCCUUGUUCAGUCUUUGUAGUCUACACAAAUUCUUAAUUUAUUUCCCUUUUUAGGGACUACUACUACAUUUGCUGACCAAUCUGGGUACUUAACUUCUCGAAUGAAACCUAUUUUAAGGAGCUUGAAUACCUUGUCUUUAAUGAAUGCAUGCUUGACCUAGGACUGGGGCCUCCUCUUCUGUUUGACCGAGUCGAACUUUGGGUCCAAGCUUAGCUUAUAAGUAGUUAUUUCUGGCAGGAUCCCUGUCAUAUCAAGAUGGGACCAAGCAAAAUAAUCUAUGUUAGCUAUAAGGAAUUUGAUGAGUUUCUUCCUGAGCUCGGGAGUUAGUCCCGUGCCCAGGUAUACCUUCCAGUCGAGCAGGUGUUCGAUCAAUAUGACUUGUUUCAGCUACUCGACCGUCGACUUGGUGGCAUCGGAAUCGUUAGGGGCUAUGAACGACCUAGGGAUUCCGUAAUCAUCGUCCUCUCCCAUCUCUUGCCUCUCUAGUUUGGUCGGGGCGAGCGUCGGUGAUUGCUAUUUGGUUUCUUCCUUGGUACACAAACUCGACCACGAACAUUUCUUUUGCGGAUAUUGAGGUCACCUCAUCGAGCGGGAACAUUUCUUUUGAGGCUGGCUGCUCUCCAUAAACUAUUUUGAUCCUUCCCGGUGUGUGGAAUUUCAAUGCCUGAUGUAGUGUCGAGGGUACUGCCCUCGUGUUGUGAAUUUAUGGUCUUUCAAACAGAGCAUUGUAUCUCAUAUCUCCUUCGAUCACGUAGAAUAUUGUUUCUUGAACGGUUUCGGUGGUGUUUACUAUCAGGGUUAUCUCCCCUUUAGUAAUCCCGCAUGCCAUGUUAAAUCUGUUUAGAACUUGGACUGCGGGCACUAAUUGGUCUUGUACACCCAAUUGGCUCGAUCUAAUGAUAUUGGCCAAGCUACCUGGAUCAAUUAACACACGCUUAACUCGAGAUUUAUUUAUGAGUAUAGAUAUACUAGUGUAUCAUUGUGUGGCUGUACGAUGCCUUUAGCAUCCUCGUCGUUGAAAGAUACAAUUCCCUCCGAUACGUAAUCUCGAGUUCGUUUAUCCGUUGUAAUGGACACCUUAGUGCGCUUUAACAUUGGUCCUUGGGGGAUGUCAACUUCGCCAAUGAUCAUGUUAAUUACGUGCUGAGGUUCUUCCUGCUCGAUCUAUUUAUUGGAUUCCCUAUUCCUGAUGUGCGUUUUUGCCCCAUAACUCAGAAAUUCUCGAAUGUGUCCGUUAUUAAAUAACCGGGCUACUUCUUCUCUUAGUUGUUUGCAGUCUUCGGAUCUGUGGUCGUGAGUGCCAUGAUACUUUCACAUCAGGUUAGGGUCCUUUUGGACAGGAUCAGACUGCAAUGGUUGAGGCUACUUAGUAUCUUUGAUGUGUCCGAUGGAUGAUACGAUGCCGGCAACAUCAAUGUUAAAGUUGUACUCCGAUAACCUUUGUGCCUCUUUAGACCCGGUGGGUCUGUAGAAACCGAUUUUGCUCAUGAGUCCCCGAUUAUUAUGGCCUCGAUCGCUCCCUCUUUCGCUCCUCCAAAGGUCGCAUGCAGACCCAUUUCCCCUUCGAUCUCCGUUAUAUGGUUGAUACCAAUCCUUUUUCGAUCUUGGUUCAUGAUCGACCGUUCUUUUGGAUCUAUCACUACUUCUGAGGGGAUAAAAAGAUCCGGAAGGGGCCCCGAGCUGAUCGUCUUGGACCCUAAUUUUCAAUUGGUACCUGUUAUGGAUGUCGGCCCAAGUUACCAUCGGAUAUUCUAUCAAAAGUUUCAAUUGUUGCGAAGCCAAUGAGCUUUGGGGGUUGAGUCCUUGGGUGAAUUCCUGAACGGACCAAUCGUCCGUGACCGGAGGCAGAUCCAUCUAUUACAUUUGAAACCUUGACAUGAAUUUUCUGAGCAUCUCGUUAUCUCUUUGCUUUACUUUGAAAAUGUCUGACUUCCUGGUCUCGACCUUGAUGGCUCUGGUGUGUUCUUUUGCAAAGGCAUCCGCAAGAAUAGCAAACGAGUUAAUAGAAUUAGGGAGUAAAUUGUGAUACCAUAUCAUGGCUCCCUUUGACAAGUUCUCUUUGAACGUUUUCAACAGAACGGAUUCUAUUUCGUCAUCUUCCAAGUCGUUUCCCUUGAUGGUGCAUGUGUAGGAGGUCACAUGCUCAUUUGGAUCAAUUGUUCCAUUAUACUUUGGAAUUUCGGGCAUGCAAAACUUCUUCGGGAUCGGCUUCGGAGCUGUGCUAGGAGGGAAAGGUUUUUGAACAAAUUUCUUGGAAUCCAGGUCCUUUAGUAUCAGUGGAGCUCCUGGGAUUUAAUCAACACUGGUAGGCAAGUUUGCAUCAAUAGCUACAUGUGAGUUAGCAUCGAUCGGGUCCGCGACCGAAACUCCGUUGGGGUCAAUAUGGGGCACCUCAUUACUAGGUACCACAUUGUUGUUCUCACCAUGGUCGCCAGACUCAGCAUCGACGUUCAAAUUGGCAGAUUGGAAGUUUGACAUUUUUUAUAUGACCUGAAAUUAAAAGCUCAAAGAACAAGUGUAAAAUAGAGUGUGUUAUGAAAAUUUAUAUCAAAUUGCUGCUAUUAUCCUCAGCCCCACGGUGGGCGCCAAAUUAUUUACCCUCAAAAGCGGAUAACAAUUAUAUUUAUAAGUAGUUUUAAAGAUACGCGGAUUAAUUCAAUGGAAAUGAUAAAUGACGUUAGACUAAACAGUUAAGGACAUAAUAAAUUACAAAAUCAAUUCAGGGGAGUGACCCCAGACUUAGUAACAGCUGAAUGAAAUGCUUGCCUCCGAUCCUGGGCUCACACUAAUGAAGAGCUGAUGAAUAAAAGUAAGAACUCUGAAUAACAUAGAAAAUAAGAGUAUAUUGCCUUGAUAUGCGUGUUACAAUGUGUCCUCAUGAAUAGGGCUGGGCAUAUAUCGGGGAUAACCGAUAGCCCGAACCGAAAAAAGCUUAUUGGGGUAACGAUAUCAGGUUAUUGGGUUAACGUUUUAAACUUUUUUUCACUAUUGGGUUAUCGAUUCGGGCCUCAGUUUGCCCAAUUUCUUAACGGGUUAACCGAUAACCCAAUAAAAAUUAGUACUAUUUCAGUUGUGUUUGGACAACUGUUGGAUUACUAGUACUCUUAUUGCUCUUGCUACAAUUAGACUCUGAAAAAAGACAUUGAUCUCUUGAUUAUGGUUUGGCAGGAAACCAAAAAAUUAUUAUUUAUGUUCCUGUUAACUGCUAUUUCCAGCGAAUUGGAGAUGGAAUGCUUGUGGAGUUGUAGUAUCAAUAUUUGAGAUUGCACAGGUCUUGAAUUUGUCAAAAUGAAGCAUGCUUCAAAUAUUAGUUGUGGCCAUAACGCAAAAAUGGGUAGUAUGCUAUAUGUGAAUUCUUCCCUUUUUUGCUUAACUCUAGUGCAUUGUCUUUUUUUUUUGCUUAACUCUAGAUUGAGUUAUCUUAUCGGGUAAACCAAUAACCGAACCGAUAAUGUUCAAUAACCUAUUAACCGAUAACCGAUAUCUUAUCAGUUCUGUUAUCGGUUUAUCAUAUUUGUAAACCAAUAACCGAUAUGCUAAACCGAUAAUAUUCACAACCGAACUGAACCGACCGAUGCACACUCCUACUCAUUGUGAGCACGUAAUUUUUGCCCUAUGUGAAUUACUCCCACAAAUUCAAGAAAUUGUUUUUUCCAUUAUUGGCAAUUUCGUAGAUUUUUGUAAAAUUUUGUUAAUUGUUUGCAUUUGCUUGUGCAUGUUUAAUUUAAUUUUAAUUCAUGAAAAAUACAAAAAUACAUUGAAUUUUCAUUUAGGACUUAAUUUUACAUUUCAAAUUAAUUGGUAAAUUAAUUUGUUUGUCAAAAAAUAGGAAAAUCACAAAAGAAACUCAUUUUGGCAUUUUUAAUUUUAGCUUCGAAUUUUGUAAUUUUCUUUUUAUUUGGUAAUUAAUUAAUUGUUGUAAAUAUUAUUUUGAGUAAUUAAUCUAAUUUGGUAGGAUAAUUUGGUUUAGGAAUUAAUUUAGGUUUUAUUUUUAAUUUGAAAAGAAAAAGAAUUUUGAAAUUGAAAGAAAAAGAAAAAGGAAAUGAGAAGUUCGGAUUUUUGGGCCAUUUUAAUUAAAAUUCCUCCAGGCCCAAAUAAUUUUCACCCUUAACCCGUCCAAUUCCAGGCCCAAUUCUAUCCCCAACCCGGUCAGCCCUUUUAGUACCCAAACGACGUAGUUUUGAGUUCCCACUUAGAUUCAAUCUGAGCCCUUCAUAUCCUUUCAUCCAACGGUCGUGGGAGGCCCCUCACAAAUACAUAAAAGUGUCCAAAUUCCCCAAAGACAACGUCAGUUCCCAAACACCCCUUUUCACUUCAUCUCCCUCAUCUCAAAAGCCCUAAGCCGCCGCCCUUGAAUUCUCCACUCGCCGGCCGGCGGCGCCGGCUCAUACCAGCCUCAAACUCACACCCCAAAAUCCUCACAACCUCCCUUUUCCCAAUCCCUAACUAAUAUCUCUCGAAUCGUCACAAAACAGAGCCGAUUUCAAAUCUAAAAAAAGACAGAAAAACAAAAGAAAAAAUCUCUUGAUUUCUUCAAGUUUGAAUGACCGGUUAGGGUCUAAAUUGUUGUUUCUCCCUUGUUUUUAACAAGAACCCGCGACGAAUACCAAUUUCGGCUCGAAAUCGGGAUAGUAGAGGUCCGUUCAAAGCAAUGACAGAGGUUCAUCCACUUCUUGUUUAGGUAUUUCAAGUCUUUUUACGUUUUCUUUUUCGUUUAGUUCCAGUCUUCAUCUCUUCUUACUUCAUCUCUUCUUUUCUCUAUUAUUUUUUUCCGUUUUGAAUCAGUUUUUGCUCGCAUGUUUAAAAUUAAAAUUUAUUAGUUCAUGUUUGUUUUAAUUUCUUUGUUCUUUUGUUUUAUUUCAUUUUUUCUUGUUUUCUAAAGAAAGGAACUCUGAUUUUUUUGGGGCAAUUCCGUUUAGCCCAUUGGUUUACUGAGUUUGAUUUUGAAUUGGGCUCUGUUAAUCAGAGGCCCAAAGGAAAGGGGAUUAGCCGAGUUUGGUAAACCAAUAUCUGGUAGGUCAUGGGUCAAUUUGACUCAUUUGUUUCCAAGGGUAAAUAACAGAGGUUUAAGGUUAAUUUAGGAAUUUUAAGUUAAGGAAUCUUGUAUAACUGACUCGGGAAACUUCUAGGAAGGUGGGUUUGGGGUUAUUUUUGAAAAGCUGAUUUUUGAAUUAGGGAUUGAAUAGCAAAAAUGAAAAUUGAAAAAGGAUUAAAGAGCAAAAACUGAACUCAUUUCUGCUGCCCUAAAAAUUCUCUAUAAAAUGCUAUUUCUUCACUCCCAUGUCAGAGUUUUAGAGACUGAAAAAGCAUUGAAACUUUAAAAACGACUGAGUUUUUCUUUCAAGUUCAAGUACUGGAAAUUGCUUGAAUUUUGCUUGGUUUUUGAGUUUUAAUUCCCUUUGAUAAGUCAGAAGUUCAAAAGUUUAAUAUAAUAGCUCAUCUGGGUUUUAAAAGUCUGGAUUUAGGUCGAGAAUUUGAAGCUUGUUUUGUCGAUUCUAUACUGUUACAUUGCUGCUAUUUUGCUGCUGCUGCUUCCUCCUAAUCUUAGGUUUUAUUUUUGGUUUAUUUUGCUGUAUUCAGGUAUAUGUUUCUGAAUCCUGCCUAAUGUGAGGCUCGAUUUGAAGUAUGGAGUUGAAAUCUUGAGUUUUAAGCAUAGCCUCAACUUACUUGUUCAUAGUUUAGCUUUACUUUUCUGAAUUACAUUGUACUAAUUUAUCUGAUGCAUUGUAUUUUGUCUUGUUGCUGCUAGUACUCUCUUAAGAGCUGUAUUUGAUCUGUACUUAGCAUGGAAUUCAAUUUUCAAUCAAGUAUCUUUUAGCUAGAUGUUGGUUUUGACAACUGAACUCGUACCAUUGUAUCUGAUCUUAGACUAUUAUGAUAGAAGCGUGAUGAACAACCUACUUAGUCGAAUCAGUAGCUAUUCUGCAAUCAACCAUGUUAAAUAGUGUAAUGUGGGCUGCAUUUGAAC